UCAAUUGCGCAUGCGCAUUGCUUUCGCCUUUUACCGCGCGGUGACCUGCUCCUGUCAAAGUGAGGAACAUCUUUCAUCUCCGCAGUAAUAUAUUCGGCAAAGUUGAAAGUAAGACAAACGAAGAAUGAAUCGAGCCUUCACUCAGACCCUGAUGAGACCCAAUCUCCCUUUGAGGAGACCUGCGACUGGACCGAGUUCACUUACUCCUAGAGGCCCAGCACCAACAUUUCACGAGUUCGCUCAAGAAAAUCUGCUAGCAAGUGACAUGCUAGAUGGUCCUAUGGGGGAUGCUGUUCGAAAGGAGAAUGUGAUUUCCGCAAAAAAUAGUCAGAAUUGUGGAGACUUUUUGUCUCCCCACCAGACAGCAGGGUCUAUGGUGGGCCCACUGGUAAAGCUGUGCAAUUACUGCAGUC
Sinocyclocheilus anshuiensis is the source of this 413-nucleotide long non-coding RNA. RefSeq lists it as uncharacterized. The record is from RefSeq and is a predicted model, not a curated record. NCBI's taxonomy places the organism in Eukaryota, Metazoa, Chordata, Actinopteri, Cypriniformes, Cyprinidae. The transcript has 4 exons.